GGUUUCAGGCCGGUCGCUCGA
RNAcentral lists this microRNA (21 nucleotides) under Sus scrofa (pig). RNAcentral's name for it is "ssc-miR-9828-3p". Lineage: Eukaryota; Metazoa; Chordata; Mammalia; Artiodactyla; Suidae. The record is from miRBase by way of RNAcentral.